Molecule: long non-coding RNA, 526 nt
Organism: Passer montanus (Eurasian tree sparrow)
Lineage: Eukaryota; Metazoa; Chordata; Aves; Passeriformes; Passeridae
Exons: 3
Source: RefSeq, a predicted model, not a curated record
GGAAGCCGCGGCUGCGGCCGCCCGCGAGAGGCGCCGGGCCGGGGUCGGGCGGGCUCUGCCUCCGCCGAACGCAGGCCGGCGCUUCCUGCUCCAGACGGACGGGUGGUGGGACGGGGGUGCUCAGCCUUCCUCCCUGAGGCGGGCUGGCGCUGGCCGUGCGGCCCGGGAGCGCUCCGUGCGCUGCCGCCGCCAGCACGUGUGACAGCCGCGGGGAGCCGGCCUGCUGUGACCUUGGGAAGCGGAGCCACGGCCUCCCCACGCGGGAUAUUGCAAGGAGCAGCGCUGCCUUCUGGGUUUGAGGUUUGGAUUUGCUUUGGAAGUCAGAGAGCAGUUGCUGCCUCAUUCUACCUACAUUCAACUUUUAAUAUAGUAGUAUUAUUGCAAACAGGAAAAAAAGGAGACAAGUAUCUCCACACCUAUCAGGAAACAGGAGACUUUGCUCUGAAAUAACUGAUAAACAAGUGUGAAGCAUGAGGAUCAACUCUGCUGUUCAGGCUGCUAUUGACCUCACAGCAGGUGCUGCAGC